This 216-nucleotide ribosomal RNA is filed under the name Glomeromycotina sp. RNAcentral's name for it is "partial small subunit ribosomal RNA". The stretch from base 40 to 216 matches the Rfam family "Eukaryotic small subunit ribosomal RNA", at positions 686 to 864 of the family's 1831-position model. Lineage: Eukaryota; Fungi; Glomeromycota. The record is from RNAcentral.
GGGUCAGUAGGUUGGUCGUGCCACCGGUACGUACUGGUCUCACUGAUUCCUCCUUCCUGAAGAACCGUAAUGCCAUUAAUUUGGUGUUGCGGGGAAACAGGACUGUUACUUUGAAAAAAUUAGAGUGUUUAAAGCAAGCUAACGCUUGAAUACAUUAGCAUGUAAUAAUGAAACAGGACGAUCGAUCCUAUUUUGUUGGUUUCUAGGAUUGACGUA